GAUGAACGCUGGCGGCGUGCCUAAUACAUGCAAGUCGAGCGAACAGACGAGGAGCUUGCUCCUCUGACGUUAGCGGCGGACGGGUGAGUAACACGUGGAUAACCUACCUAUAAGACUGGGAUAACUUCGGGAAACCGGAGCUAAUACCGGAUAAUAUAUUGAACCGCAUGGUUCAAUAGUUAAAGACGGUUUUGCUGUCACUUAUAGCUGGAUCCGCGCCGCAUUAGCUAGUUGGUAAGGUAACGGCUUACCAAGGCGACGAUGCGUAGCCGACCUGAGAGGGUGAUCGGCCACACUGGAACUGAGACACGGUCCAGACUCCUACGGGAGGCAGCAGUAGGGAAUCUUCCGCAAUGGGCGAAAGUCUGACGGAGCAACGCCGCGUGAGUGAUGAAGGUCUUCGGAUCGUAAAACUCUGUUAUUAGGGAAGAACAAAUGUGUAAGUAACUAUGCAUGUCUUGACGGUACCUAAUCAGAAAGCCACGGCUAACUACGUG
Molecule: ribosomal RNA, 497 nt
Filed under: uncultured bacterium
Lineage: Bacteria
Description: partial 16S ribosomal RNA
Rfam family: Bacterial small subunit ribosomal RNA
Source: RNAcentral